GACGAACGCUGGCGGCGUGCCUAACACAUGCAAGUCGAGCGAGGAGAGUUCCUUCGGGAACAAACCUAGCGGCGGACGGGUGAGUAACACGUGGGCAACCUGCCUUGUAGAGGGGAAUAGCCUUCCGAAAGGAAGAUUAAUACCGCAUAACAUUACAGUUUCGCAUGAAACAGUAAUUAAAGGAGUAAUCCGCUACAAGAUGGGCCCGCGGCGCAUUAGCUAGUUGGUGAGGUAACGGCUCACCAAGGCGACGAUGCGUAGCCGACCUGAGAGGGUGAUCGGCCACAUUGGGACUGAGACACGGCCCAGACUCCUACGGGAGGCAGCAGUGGGGAAUAUUGCACAAUGGGGGAAACCCUGAUGCAGCAACGCUGCGUGAGUGAUGAAGGUUUUCGGAUCGUAAAGCUCUGUCUUCGGGGACGAUAAUGACGGUACCCGAGGAGGAAGCCACGGCUAACUACGUG
RNAcentral lists this ribosomal RNA (464 nucleotides) under uncultured bacterium. Its description in RNAcentral is "bacterial SSU rRNA". It matches the Rfam family "Bacterial small subunit ribosomal RNA", at positions 28 to 507 of the family's 1533-position model. The record is from RNAcentral.